AUAUAGAGGCUGGCGACCGGCAAACGGGUGCGGAACACGUACACAACCUUCCUUGAAUAGGGGGAUAGCCCAUAGAAAUGUGGAUUAAUACCCCGUAAUAUAGCGGUGUGGCAUCACACUGUUAUUAUAGUUUCGGCGAUUCGAGAUGGGUGUGCGGCUGAUUAGGUAGUUGGCGGGGUAAAGGCCCACCAAGCCUUCGAUCAGUAGCUGAUGUGAGAGCAUGAUCAGCCACACGGGCACUGAGACACGGGCCCGACUCCUACGGGAGGCAGCAGUAAGGAAUAUUGGUCAAUGGACGCAAGUCUGAACCAGCCAUGCCGCGUGAAGAAUGAAGGUCCUCUGGAUUGUAAACUUCUUUUAUAGGGGGCGAAAAAAGGUCUUUCUAGAUCACUUGACAGUACCCUAUGAAUAAGCACCGGCUAACUCCGUGCCAGCAGCCGCGGUAAUACGGAGGGUGCAAGCGUUAUCCGGAUUCACUGGGUUUAAAGGGUGCGUAGGCGGGUAGGUAAGUCAGAGGUGAAAUCCUGGAGCUUAACUCCAGAACUGCCUUUGAUACUAUCUAUCUUGAAUAUGGUGGAGGUAAGCGGAAUAUGUCAUGUAGCGGUGAAAUGCAUAGAUAUGACAUAGAACACCUAUUGCGAAGGCAGCUUACUACGCCUAUAUUGACGCUGAGGCACGAAAGCGUGGGGAUCAAACAGGAU
This 701-nucleotide ribosomal RNA is filed under the name uncultured bacterium. Its description in RNAcentral is "bacterial SSU rRNA". It matches the Rfam family "Bacterial small subunit ribosomal RNA", at positions 79 to 778 of the family's 1533-position model. The record is from RNAcentral.